GACGGAGGGCGCAAGCGUUGUUCGGAUUCACUGGGCAUAAAGGGCGCGUAGGUGGUCUAGUCAGUUGGGUGUGAAAGCCCCCGGCCCAACCGGGGAAUUGCAUUCAAUACUGCUAGACUUGAGAGCAGGAGGGGUGGAUGGAACUCCAGGUGGAACGGUGAAAUGUGUAGAUAUCUGGAGGAACACCGGUGGCGAAAGCGGUCCACUGGCCUGCUACUGACACUGAGGCGCGAAAGCCAGGGGAGCGAACGGG
This 253-nucleotide ribosomal RNA is filed under the name uncultured bacterium. RNAcentral describes it as "partial 16S ribosomal RNA". It matches the Rfam family "Bacterial small subunit ribosomal RNA", at positions 524 to 776 of the family's 1533-position model. The record is from RNAcentral.